AGAUGAUGGAGAUAUAUGGAGGUUCACUCUUUCUUCCUGUACCCAAACAAUGGAAAACAAAUCCUCUUCUUAUUGCUCUGGGUGCUACUGAAGUGGAACUCGACAGGCACCAGAAUUGUCUCAAGCCAAAGGCAGUAAUCAUAAAAAUCUAUGAAGGGAAACGAGUGUUAAAUACUUAAGCUAGCACUACCAAUCUGAUUCAUCAAAUCAAAAGCCAUCACAAGGAAGAAGCUAGAUGAUGGAAAUCAAGACAGGUGAGUCAGUUAGUGGAAACAUGCUCUACCAAACUGAUUCAGGGAAAUCUCAAAAGGCAAAAGCUAGAUGAUGCAAAAUCAAGACAGGUGAUGAUCAGAAGAGGACGUUGUUUUCAUGGCAUUUCUUCAACUCUCAUAUGAUUUGACGAGAAACUCCACAACGAGAAAAAGAUUAUGUGAAACAGCUUUCUA
Non-coding RNA from Camelina sativa (false flax), 446 nucleotides. NCBI's taxonomy places the organism in Eukaryota, Viridiplantae, Streptophyta, Magnoliopsida, Brassicales, Brassicaceae. The record is from RefSeq and is a predicted model, not a curated record.